Molecule: ribosomal RNA, 484 nt
Filed under: uncultured bacterium
Lineage: Bacteria
Description: partial 16S ribosomal RNA
Rfam family: Bacterial small subunit ribosomal RNA
Source: RNAcentral
AUUGAACGCUGGCGGCAGGCCUAACACAUGCAAGUCGAGCGGAUGAAGGGAGCUUGCUCCUGGAUUCAGCGGCGGACGGGUGAGUAAUGCCUAGGAAUCUGCCUGGUAGUGGGGGAUAACGUCCGGAAACGGGCGCUAAUACCGCAUACGUCCUGAGGGAGAAAGUGGGGGAUCUUCGGACCUCACGCUAUCAGAUGAGCCUAGGUCGGAUUAGCUAGUUGGUGGGGUAAAGGCCUACCAAGGCGACGAUCCGUAACUGGUCUGAGAGGAUGAUCAGUCACACUGGAACUGAGACACGGUCCAGACUCCGAGGGGAGGCAGCAGUGGGGAAUAUUGGACAAGGGGGGAAAGCCUGAUCCAGCCAUGCCGCGUGUGUGAAGAAGGUCUUGGGAUUGUAAAGCACUUUAAGUUGGGAGGAAGGGCAGUAAGGUAAUACCUUGCUGUUUUGACGGUACCAACAGAAUAAGCACCGGCUAACUUCGUG